AAGUCGUAACAAGGUAUCCGUAGGUGAACCUGCGGAUGGAUCAUUAAAGUAAAGACUGAGAUGGCUUCGGCUAUCAAAGUCCGGCUCAGCCGACACUUUGUGCACUGUUUUACGUCUCUGGCGGAAUGUUUUCCUGCCCAGUGGCUUAAUUGCUGCUGGUAGGUCAGCACCCGCCGAUGGGCUUUUGCCUGUCGCUAUUUUAACUCCAAUGUGUGAACCUAUCCAGUCUGAAAACUUUCACUAUAACUAAUGUGAAAACAACUUUUGACAACGGAUCUCUUGGCUCUC
RNAcentral lists this unclassified non-coding RNA (288 nucleotides) under fungal sp. RNAcentral's name for it is "partial internal transcribed spacer region". The stretch from base 1 to 46 matches the Rfam family "Eukaryotic small subunit ribosomal RNA", at positions 1786 to 1831 of the family's 1831-position model. The record is from RNAcentral. Lineage: Eukaryota; Fungi.